This 234-nucleotide unclassified non-coding RNA is filed under the name Ambisporaceae sp. RNAcentral describes it as "partial contains 5.8S ribosomal RNA and internal transcribed spacer 2". The stretch from base 1 to 71 matches the Rfam family "5.8S ribosomal RNA", at positions 84 to 154 of the family's 154-position model. The record is from RNAcentral. Lineage: Eukaryota; Fungi; Glomeromycota; Glomeromycetes; Archaeosporales; Ambisporaceae.
GUGAAUCAUCGAAUCUUUGAACGCAUAUUGCACUCUCUGGUAUUCCGGAGAGUAUGCCUGUUUGAGGGUAAUUAAAAACAAUCUUUAACCAUUUUUUUUGGUCAAAGGAUGUGAGUUCUCCGCGUUUAUAGCGGUAGCUUGAAAUAAAUGGUCAAGUCUCAUUUUAGUAGAGACGCAUUAUAAUAUUAUUGCGCGAUAUCUUCAAUAUGUAUAUCAAAUUUUUUUAUGCAUAAU